RNAcentral lists this ribosomal RNA (380 nucleotides) under uncultured eukaryote. RNAcentral's name for it is "partial 18S ribosomal RNA". It matches the Rfam family "Eukaryotic small subunit ribosomal RNA", at positions 592 to 976 of the family's 1831-position model. The record is from RNAcentral.
CAAUAGCGUAUAUUAAAGUUGUUGCGGUUAAAAAGCUCGUAGUUGGAUUUCUGCUGAGAACGACCGGUCCGCCCUCUGGGUGUGUAUCUGGCUCUUUCUUGGCAUCUUCUUGGUGAACGUUGCUGCACUUGACUGUGUGGAGCGCUACCCAGGACUUUUACUUUGAGGAAAUUAGAGUGUUUCAAGCAGGCAUACGCCUUGAAUACAUUAGCAUGGAAUAAUAAGAUAGGACCUCGGUUCUAUUUUGUUGGUUUCUAGGGCUAAGAUAAUGAUUAAUAGGGACAAUUGGGGGCAUUCGUAUUGCGGUGUCAGAGGUGGAAUUCUUGGAUUACUGCACGACGAACUACUGCGAAAGCAUUUGCCAAGGAUGUUUUCAUUGA